Molecule: RNA transcript, 1819 nt
Organism: Crotalus tigris (Tiger rattlesnake)
Lineage: Eukaryota; Metazoa; Chordata; Lepidosauria; Squamata; Viperidae
Gene: LMAN2L
Gene name: lectin, mannose binding 2 like
Exons: 10
Source: RefSeq, a predicted model, not a curated record
AGCCCACGGCGAGAGUAAGAUGGCGGCGGCGGCGGCUUGGGGAUCCGGCAGCGGGGAUGCCAAACUCCGCCGGCGGCUGCUCCUCUUAUGGCUGCCGCUGCUGCUGCUUUGGGAAGCCGGGGCGGAGCAGAUGGAGGAGUACCUGAAGCGGGAGCAUUCGCUCACUAUGCCUUAUCAGGGUGUGGGAUCUGGCAGCUCCUCACUCUGGGAACUUAUGGGCAAUGCAAUGGUGAUGACCCAGUUUGUUCGUCUCACCCCAGAUAUCCAAAGCAAGCAGGGUGCUGUGUGGAACAGAGUGCCUUGUUACUUGAGAGACUGGGAGAUGCAGGUGCAUUUCAGAAUCCACGGGCAAGGGAAAAAAAACCUCAACGGUGAUGGCUUUGCCAUCUGGUACACAAAGGAUCGAAUGCAGCCAGGGCCGGUCUUUGGCAGCAAGGAAAACUUCAUAGGGCUGGGCGUGUUUGUAGACACCUACCCCAAUGAGGAGAAGCAGCAGGAGGCCCAGAAGAAGAGGUAUACUUCAGGAAACCAGCGUGUCUUCCCGUACGUCUCAGCCAUGGUCACCAACGGGUCCCUUGUCUACGACCAUGAGAGGGAUGGGAGGCCGACUGAACUCGGUGGCUGCACAGCCAUAGUCCGGAACCUGGAGCACGACACUUUCCUGGUGAUCCGAUACGUGAAGAGGAGACUUACGGUCUUGCUUGAUAUUGACGGAAAGCACGAAUGGAGAGAUUGCCUCGACAUUCCUGGAGUCCACUUACCCCGCGGAUACUUCUUCGGAAUCUCUUCCGUCACAGGAGACUUGUCAGACAAUCACGACAUAAUUUCUCUGAAGACCUACCAGCUGACGGUUGAACGGACACUAGAAGAAGAGAAGCGUGACAAAGAAGUCUUCCUUCCGGUGGUGGAGAACAUGAAGCUUCCUGGAAUGGAGACGCCGAUGGAACCCCUGAGUGGCCUUGCUCUCUUCCUGAUAGUCUUCUUUUCGCUGGUGGCCAUCGUCUUCGCCAUCGUCAUUGGCGUUAUCGUUUACAACAAAUGGCAAGAACAGAGCCGGAAGCAUUUCUACUGACCCACAGGCUUCCUCUUCGAUUCCUCCGGUCCUCCUUGCUUUCUGGAUAGCCAUCGGAUUUCAUCAGCAAGAGGCGAUCAUGGAAACGGGCAGCUCAGCGUGGGAAGCCCCCCCCCCAGUGCUCAAGGCAGCAUGCAUGAUGCUCUUCCGUCUGUUUUCUCUCCUAAUAAGAGCUUUGUGAGGUCAGAAGCUUAAUGGCCAAGUCUCUCCCUUUCCCCUCAGCGUGGCUGGCUCAGGAAUUCUGGGAGUUGAAGUCCACAAGUCAUGAAGGGGCCAUAGUUCCCCCAUGCUGGCUCAGGAAUUCUGAGAGUUGAAGUCCACACAUCUUCAAGUGGCCAAGGUUGAGAAACACUGCACUAGACCAGGGGUAGGCAGCUUUGGACGACACACUGGAAAUGAACCUUAGACAUUCUACAGACAAAAUAUGUCCUUGGGCUCCUGACCACAACCAACCUAGAACUUGGGUUUCAAUAAAUGUCCUUAAAGGAGAAAUGGCAUUUGUUUCUAUAGAAACAGCCCUGGAAUCAACAGGGAAAGCAUGAGCAGAAGCUCAUUGUGAAAUCACUCAGUUCCUUCAAUAGGACCAUGGCCACAUUGGUAGCAGAAUUUCCAGAACAUUUUGCCUCUUCUUAAAAAAAAAGACACCUUUUUAUUUUUGGCCAAACUGACUGAAAUCUUAUGCGUGUCUGCCUAUUUUUUGUCUUCAUAUAUGUUUCUGCCUUGAAAUAAACACAACUGUGAAAUGUC